AUUGAACGCUGGCGGCAUGCCUUACACAUGCAAGUCGAACGGUAACGGGCCUUCGGGUGCCGACGAGUGGCGAACGGGUGAGUAAUACAUCGGAACGUGCCCGAUCGUGGGGGAUAACGAGGCGAAAGCUUUGCUAAUACCGCAUACGAUCUACGGAUGAAAGCAGGGGACCGCAAGGCCUUGCGCGGACGGAGCGGCCGAUGGCAGAUUAGGUAGUUGGUGGGAUAAAAGCUUACCAAGCCGACGAUCUGUAGCUGGUCUGAGAGGAUGAUCAGCCACACUGGGACUGAGACACGGCCCAGACUCCUACGGGAGGCAGCAGUGGGGAAUUUUGGACAAAGGGCGUAAGCCUGAUCCAGCCAUGCCGCGUGCAGGAUGAAGGCCUUCGGGUUGUAAACUGCUUUUGUACGGAACGAAAAGCCUUCUUUUAAUACAGGAGGGUCAUGACGGUACCGUAAGAAUAAGCACCGGCUAACUACGUG
RNAcentral lists this ribosomal RNA (482 nucleotides) under uncultured bacterium. Its description in RNAcentral is "partial 16S ribosomal RNA". It matches the Rfam family "Bacterial small subunit ribosomal RNA", at positions 30 to 507 of the family's 1533-position model. The record is from RNAcentral.